GUCUAAAAACAGCACAAAAAACAUUUUCCAAAAGACCAAACAAGUGAAAAAGUAUAUUUAAACAAAACGCAUUUGACUAACAGGUCGAACAACUGAUGUUCUUUAACCCUGCUGACUGCCAUUGGCGAUUGCCAAAUAAAAUUGAUCACAAGAUGUAACAAAAUGGAUCUUAAUAUAAAUUUAAUACUAAACAGAAAAAAAAAUUAACUUGUGGCCACGAUGUUAUGCCACAAACAUACGGUGUCAAUAUUUUUUUAGUACACCAGAUCCGGAUUUCGACAAUAAAUGUCUCUUCAGUG
RNAcentral lists this long non-coding RNA (299 nucleotides) under Mytilus galloprovincialis (Mediterranean mussel). The record is from RNAcentral. Lineage: Eukaryota; Metazoa; Mollusca; Bivalvia; Mytilida; Mytilidae.